ACUACAUGAAGCUGGAAUCGCUAGUAAUCGCGAAUCAGAAUGUCGCGGUGAAUACGUUCCCGGGUCUUGUACACACCGCCCGUCACACCAUGGGAGUCGGAUAUGCCCGAAGUCAGUGACCCAACCAUAUGGAGGGAGCUGCCGAAGGUGGAGCCGAUAACUGGGGUGAAGUCGUAACAAGGUAGC
This 186-nucleotide ribosomal RNA is filed under the name uncultured bacterium. RNAcentral's name for it is "partial 16S ribosomal RNA". It matches the Rfam family "Bacterial small subunit ribosomal RNA", at positions 1315 to 1500 of the family's 1533-position model. The record is from RNAcentral.